Molecule: ribosomal RNA, 774 nt
Filed under: uncultured Neocallimastigales
Lineage: Eukaryota; Fungi; Neocallimastigomycota; Neocallimastigomycetes; Neocallimastigales
Description: partial large subunit ribosomal RNA
Rfam family: Eukaryotic large subunit ribosomal RNA
Source: RNAcentral
AGAGAGAGACAUGCGCGCAUAUCAAUAAGCGGAGGAAAAGAAACUAACAAGGAUUCCCUUAGUAACGGCGAGUGAAGCGGGAAGAGCUCAAAUUUGAAAUCUUCAAGGUUUUACCUUGAUGAAUUGUAGUUUAAAGAAGUGUUUUCUGUUGAAGUUUUGGUAAAAGUUCUUUGGAAUAGGACAUCAUAGAGGGUGAGAAUCCCGUAUUUGACCAUUAUUUUCAGCUGUGUGAUACACUUUCAAAGAGUCGGAUUGUUUGGGAAUGCAGUCCAAAAUGGGUGGUAAAUUUCAUCUUAAGCUAAAUAUUGGCGAGAGACCGAUAGCGAACAAGUACCGUGAGGGAAAGAUGAAAAGAACUUUGAAAAGAGAGUUAAACAGUACGUGAAAUUGUCAAAAGGGAAGCGUUUGACACCAGUGUUGUUUUUCCGAAAAUCAAUUACGAAUGUUUUAUUUUUGAGGAGUUAUGACUUCAUCGGCUUGCUCCUUUCUUUACGAAACUUUCUUAAUGCACUUUUCGGUUAACAAGUCAACAUCAAUUUCUUUUGUUGUAAAAGAGUCAUUGGAAGGUGGCUUUCUUUUCGGAGAAAGUGUUUAUAGCCUUUGACUUCUGCAAUCGGAGAGAUUGAGGUCUGCAGCGUAGAUCCUUCGGGGUUAGAUGCAUUUGUGCUAAGCUAUAGCCUUUCAUAGACAACUUGUUGACUAUGAUCAGUCAUGUAGCUUACUCGCUUAUGUCAUUUUACCUACGCUUAGGAUGUUGACAGCAGUAUAGACUGU